UACAGAGGUGGCAAGCGUUGUUCGGAAUUACUGGGCGUAAAGGGCGCGUAGGCGGCUCUUUAAGUCCCGUGUGAAAGCCCCCGGCUCAACCGGGGAACUGCACGGGAAACUGGAAGGCUUGAGUUCGGGAGAGGGAAGCGGAAUUCCGGGUGUAGCGGUGAAAUGCGUAGAUAUCUGGAGGAACACCGGUGGCGAAGGCGGCAUCCUGGACCAAUUCUGACGCUGAGUGAGCGAAAGCCAGGGGAGCAAACGGG
RNAcentral lists this ribosomal RNA (254 nucleotides) under uncultured prokaryote. RNAcentral describes it as "partial 16S ribosomal RNA". It matches the Rfam family "Bacterial small subunit ribosomal RNA", at positions 524 to 776 of the family's 1533-position model. The record is from RNAcentral.